AGCAGCCGCGGUAAUUCCAGCUCCAAUAGCGUAUAUUAAAGUUGUUGCAGUUAAAAAGCUCGUAGUUGAAUUUCGGGAUCAAUAUAUCGGUCGUGCCUUGGUACGUACUGGUAUCAUUGGUCUCUCCUUUCUGACGAACCAUGAUGUCAUUAAUUUGGUGUCUUGGGAAAUCAGGACUGUUACUUUGAAAAAAUUAGAGUGUUUAAAGCAGGCUCACGCUUGAAUACAUUAGCAUGGAAUAAUGAAAUAGGACGUUUUGAUUCUAUUUUGUUGGUUUCUAGGAUCGACGUAAUGAUUAAUAGGGAUAGUUGGGGGCAUUAGUAUUCAAUUGUCAGAGGUGAAAUUCUUGGAUUUAUUGAAAGUACUAACUACUAGCGAAAG
This 381-nucleotide ribosomal RNA is filed under the name uncultured Glomus. RNAcentral describes it as "SSU rRNA". It matches the Rfam family "Eukaryotic small subunit ribosomal RNA", at positions 569 to 951 of the family's 1831-position model. The record is from RNAcentral. Lineage: Eukaryota; Fungi; Glomeromycota; Glomeromycetes; Glomerales; Glomeraceae.